AGUGAACGCUGGCGGUAGGCCUAACACAUGCAAGUCGAACGGCAGCACAGUAAGAGCUUGCUCUUACGGGUGGCGAGUGGCGGACGGGUGAGGAAUACAUCAGAAUCUACUUUUUCGUGGGGGAUAACGUAGGGAAACUUACGCUAAUACCGCAUACGACCUACGGGUGAAAGCAGGGGAUCUUCGGACCUUGCGCGAUUGAAUGAGCCGAUGUCGGAUUAGCUAGUUGGCGGGGUAAAGGCCCACCAAGGCGACGAUCCGUAGCUGGUCUGAGAGGAUGAUCAGCCACACUGGAACUGAGACACGGUCCAGACUCCUACGGGAGGCAGCAGUGGGGAAUAUUGGACAAUGGGCGCAAGCCUGAUCCAGCCAUACCGCGUGGGUGAAGAAGGCCUUCGGGUUGUAAAGCCCUUUUGUUGGGAAAGAAAAGCAGCAGGUUAAUACCCCGCUGUUCUGACGGUACCCAAAGAACAAGCACCGGCUAACUUCGUG
Molecule: ribosomal RNA, 492 nt
Filed under: uncultured bacterium
Lineage: Bacteria
Description: partial 16S ribosomal RNA
Rfam family: Bacterial small subunit ribosomal RNA
Source: RNAcentral